UUUGUUUAGCAGUACAAAAACUAAAAAGACUGGAACGGUACAGAGAACAUGAGCAUAGCCCCUGCACAAGAAUACCACACAGUUCGUGAAGCAGUCCGUAUUUUU
Small nuclear RNA from Arvicanthis niloticus (Nile rat), 105 nucleotides. The record is from RefSeq and is a predicted model, not a curated record. Lineage: Eukaryota; Metazoa; Chordata; Mammalia; Rodentia; Muridae.